CCUACGUGCGGCAGCAGUGGGGAAUCUUGCACAAUGGGCGAAACCCUGAUGCAGCGACGCCGCGUGCGUGAAGAAGUAAUUCGUUAUGUAAAGCUCUGUCAUCAGGGAAGAAAAUGACUGUACCUGAGUAUGAAGCCCCGGCUAACUACUUGCCAGCAGCCGCGGUAAUACGUAGGGGGCAAGCGUUAUCCGGAUUUACUGGGUGAAACGGGAGCGUAGACGGCUGUGCAAGUCUGGAGUGAAAGGCGGGGGGUCAACCCCCGGACUGCGCUGGAAACUGUACGGCUGGAGUGCAGGAGAGGUAAGUGGAAUUCCUAGUGUAGCGGUGAAAUGCGUAGAUAUUAGGAGGAACACCAGUGGCGAAGGCGGCUUACUGGACUGUAACUGACGUUGAGGCUCGAAAGCGUGGGGAGCAAACAGGAUUAGAUACCCGUGUAGUC
Molecule: ribosomal RNA, 440 nt
Filed under: uncultured bacterium
Lineage: Bacteria
Description: partial 16S ribosomal RNA
Rfam family: Bacterial small subunit ribosomal RNA
Source: RNAcentral